GCUGCACCAGCCGCGGCCGUGGAUUAUGCAUCUCUCAUUUGCCCCUGGAAUAUGCUCGACGAUUUAGAUUGCACCAUUCGGUUGCAGCAAGUAAGGCAAAGUUAAAAUCUUCUGCUGGCAGUUUUAAAGAAGAUACAAUCUGCAAUUCGAAUGCGGAAUCAUAGGGGAAUUUUCGUAUUUUCUUCCCCUGUUGUUAUCUUGGAACAAAAAAGCUUUAUCCUGAUACGUACGUUCUUUCCUAUUUAUUUUCUCUUUUCCAUAGACGUGCUCUUGCACGUAAAUUCUUUUCUUGAUUAACAAUGGCUUAUCCGUUCGCGGUUGGUUGAAUUUUUUUCUAAAUUUUAAUAGAUUAAUAAUUGUUAAAAUGUAAAUACAUUUAAGGUAUAUUCGAUGAAAUUGAAAAGUUUUUCGUCAAAGAUACUGAUUUAUUUAGCGAUCGUGCAUUAAUCAAUAGUUCAAAUUAACAAUUUGUUUUUGCGAGUUCUUUCCAAAUCGUAAUAUUAGUUUAUAGUGUAAAAAAGAAAAAAAAAAAGAAAAUUCUCAAAGUAAAAUAAACUUUAACGCUCUCAUUGGUGUUUCACGUCAAAGGAAGAAACGAGCUAGGUGAAAGGAGUAUUUGAAAGGUCGGAUAGUAGAGAUCUCGAUUCGAACUUUAGAUUCUCGGAAAUAAAAUUAAUUAAAAGGGUAUGAUGUCUCGAGUGUUGUAGGCGUGUGUAUCGCUUGAUUUUCACGGGAAUGAAACACGACUUGAUUGGACGUAACUUUUUCCCACGCGAAACACAUCUAUUCUGUUACCUUACUACUUCGUGUAUCUUUUCAUGUGUUUUUUAAGGGAAAAAGAAAGGAAUAAGAAAGAGAAAAAAAAAGAUAUGAGAGAAAGAAUGUAUGUGUCUGUGUGUGUGUGUGUGUGUGUGUGAGAGAGAAAGAAUGCGAGUGAAAUUUAUGAACGCGUAGGACAUAGAAAAUCAGACGAUAUACGACUACGCGAAAGAAGUAAAAUGUAAUUUCAGUUAAAUUAUGUUUCCCAGUGUUUUAUAAAUAAAAGAAAGAAAGAAA
Molecule: long non-coding RNA, 1056 nt
Filed under: Polistes fuscatus (common paper wasp)
Lineage: Eukaryota; Metazoa; Arthropoda; Insecta; Hymenoptera; Vespidae
Description: uncharacterized LOC122526103
Source: RNAcentral